GCCCCCGUAGCUCAGCUGGAUAGAGCGGUCCCCUCCUAAGGGACAGGUCGUACGUUCGAAUCGUAUCGGGGGCACCA
Molecule: transfer RNA, 77 nt
Filed under: Rhodanobacter sp.
Lineage: Bacteria; Pseudomonadati; Pseudomonadota; Gammaproteobacteria; Lysobacterales; Rhodanobacteraceae
Description: tRNA-Arg
Rfam family: tRNA
About the family: Transfer RNA (tRNA) molecules are approximately 80 nucleotides in length. Their secondary structure includes four short double-helical elements and three loops (D, anti-codon, and T loops). Further hydrogen bonds mediate the characteristic L-shaped molecular structure. tRNAs have two regions of fundamental functional importance: the anti-codon, which is responsible for specific mRNA codon recognition, and the 3' end, to which the tRNAs corresponding amino acid is attached (by aminoacyl-tRNA synthetases). tRNAs cope with the degeneracy of the genetic code in two manners: having more than one tRNA (with a specific anti-codon) for a particular amino acid; and 'wobble' base-pairing, i.e. permitting non-standard base-pairing at the 3rd anti-codon position.
Source: RNAcentral